RNAcentral lists this ribosomal RNA (318 nucleotides) under uncultured microorganism. RNAcentral's name for it is "bacterial SSU rRNA". It matches the Rfam family "Bacterial small subunit ribosomal RNA", at positions 9 to 318 of the family's 1533-position model. The record is from RNAcentral.
GAGUUUGAUCGUGGCUCAGGAUGAACGCUGGCGGCGUGCCUAAUACAUGCAAGCCGAGCGAACGGACGAGAAGCUUGCUUCUCUGAUGUUAGCGGCGGACGGGUGAGUAACACGUGGAUAACCUACCUAUAAGACUGGGAUAACUUCGGGAAACCGGAGCUAAUACCGGAUAAUAUUUUGAACCGCAUGGUUCAAAAGUAAAGACGGUCUUGCUGUCACUUAUAGAUGGAUCCGCGCUGCAUUAGCUAGUUGGUAAGGUAACGGCUUACCAAGGCAACGAUGCAUAGCCGACUGAGAGGGUGAUCGGCCACACUGGAA